Molecule: ribosomal RNA, 460 nt
Filed under: uncultured bacterium
Lineage: Bacteria
Description: partial 16S ribosomal RNA
Rfam family: Bacterial small subunit ribosomal RNA
Source: RNAcentral
CCUACGGGUGGCAGCAGUGAGGAAUAUUGGUCAAUGGACGAGAGUCUGAACCAGCCAAGUAGCGUGAAGGAUGACUGCCCUAUGGGUUGUAAACUUCUUUUAUAUGGGAAUAAAAUGUUCCACGUGUGGGAUUUUGUAUGUACCAUAUGAAUAAGGAUCGGCUAACUCCGUGCCAGCAGCCGCGGUAAUACGGAGGAUCCGAGCGUUAUCCGGAUUUAUUGGGUUUAAAGGGAGCGUAGGUGGGUUGUUAAGUCAGUUGUGAAAGUUUGAGGCUCAACCGUAGAAUUGCAGUUGAAACUGGCAGUCUUGAGUACAGUAGAGGUGGGCGGAAUGCGUGGUGUAGCGGUGAAAUGCUUAGAUAUCACGAAGAACUCCGAUUGCGAAGGCAGUUCACUGGACUGCAACUGACACUGAGGCUCGAAAGUGUGGGUAUCAAACAGGAUUAGAUACCCCUGUAGUC